RNAcentral lists this ribosomal RNA (416 nucleotides) under uncultured bacterium. RNAcentral describes it as "bacterial SSU rRNA". It matches the Rfam family "Bacterial small subunit ribosomal RNA", at positions 958 to 1364 of the family's 1533-position model. The record is from RNAcentral.
ACGCCGAAGAACCUUACCUGGGCUUGAACUGCAUUGGUUGUAGGUGUUGGAGACAACACUGAGCCUUCGGGCGCUGAUGUAGAGGUGCUGGCAUGGCCUGUCGUCAGCUCCGUUGUCCGUGAGAUGUUGGGUUAAGUCCCGCAACGAGCGCAACCCUUACACUUAGUUGCCAUCAGUUUAGCUGGGCACUCUAAGUGGACUGCCUGGGAUAACCAGGAGGAAAGUGGGGAUGACGUCAAGUCCUCAUGGCCUUUAUGUCCAGGGCUACACACGUGCUACAAUGGGCGAUACAAAGCGGAGCGAAACCGUGAGGUGGAGCGAAUCGCACAAAGUCGUCCUCAGUUCGGAUUGCAGUUGCAACUCGACUGCAUGAAGCUGGAAUCGCUAGUAAUCCCGUAUCAGCAGCGACCGGGGUG